This 501-nucleotide ribosomal RNA is filed under the name uncultured bacterium. Its description in RNAcentral is "partial 16S ribosomal RNA". It matches the Rfam family "Bacterial small subunit ribosomal RNA", at positions 29 to 523 of the family's 1533-position model. The record is from RNAcentral.
AUUGAACGCUGGCGGCAUGCCUUACACAUGCAAGUCGAACGGCAGCACGGGUGCUUGCACCUGGUGGCGAGUGGCGAACGGGUGAGUAAUACAUCGGAACGUACCUUAUCGUGGGGGAUAACGCAGCGAAAGCUGUGCUAAUACCGCAUACGCCCUGAGGGGGAAAGCGGGGGAUCGAAAGACCUCGCGCGAUUAGAGCGGCCGAUGCCGGAUUAGCUUGUUGUUGGGGUAAAAGCCCACCAAGGCGACGAUCAGUAGCUGGGCUGAGAGGACGAUCAGGCACACUGGGACUGAGCCACGGCCCAGACUCCUACGGGAGGCAGCAGUGGGGAAUUUUGGACAAUGGGGGCAACCCUGAUCCAGCAAUGCCGCGUGAGUGAAGAAGGCCUUCGGGUUGUAAAGCUCUUUUGUCAGGGAAGAAACACCGGCUCUAACACAGUCCGGGAAUGACGGUACCUGAAGAAUAAGCACCGGCUAACUACGUGCCAGCCGCCGCCGUAA